GAUGGCCGAGGCUACCAUGCAGUCGAGCGGUAGCACAGAGAGCUUGCUCUCGGGUGACGAGCGGCGGACGGGUGAGUAAUGUCUGGGAAACUGCCUGAUGGAGGGGGAUAACUACUGGAAACGGUAGCUAAUACCGCAUAAUGUCGCAAGACCAAAGUGGGGGACCUUCGGGCCUCAUGCCAUCAGAUGUGCCCAGAUGGGAUUAGCUAGUAGGUGGGGUAACGGCUCACCUAGGCGACGAUCCCUAGCUGGUCUGAGAGGAUGACCAGCCACACUGGAACUGAGACACGGUCCAGACUCCUACGGGAGGCAGCAGUGGGGAAUAUUGCACAAUGGGCGCAAGCCUGAUGCAGCCAUGCCGCGUGUGUGAAGAAGGCCUUCGGGUUGUAAAGCACUUUCAGCGGGGAGGAAGGCGAUAAGGUUAAUAACCUCGUCGAUUGACGUUACCCGCAGAAGAAGCACCGGCUAACUCCGUGCCAGCAGCCGCGGUAAUACGGAGGGUGCAAGCGUUAAUCGGAAUUACUGGGCGUAAAGCGCACGCAGGCGGUCUGUCAAGUCGGAUGUGAAAUCCCCGGGCUCAACCUGGGAACUGCAUUCGAAACUGGCAGGCUAGAGUCUUGUAGAGGGGGGUAGAAUUCCAGGUGUAGCGGUGAAAUGCGUAGAGAUCUGGAGGAAUACCGGUGGCGAAGGCGGCCCCCUGGACAAAGACUGACGCUCAGGUGCGAAAGCGUGGGGAGCAAACAGGAUUAGAUACCCUGGUAGUCCACGCCGUAAACGAUGUCGAUUUGGAGGUUGUGCCCUUGAGGCGUGGCUUCCGGAGCUAACGCGUUAAAUCGACCGCCUGGGGAGUACGGCCGCAAGGUUAAAACUCAAAUGAAUUGACGGGGGCCCGCACAAGC
Molecule: ribosomal RNA, 899 nt
Filed under: Klebsiella pneumoniae
Lineage: Bacteria; Pseudomonadati; Pseudomonadota; Gammaproteobacteria; Enterobacterales; Enterobacteriaceae
Description: bacterial SSU rRNA
Rfam family: Bacterial small subunit ribosomal RNA
Source: RNAcentral